This 468-nucleotide ribosomal RNA is filed under the name uncultured bacterium. RNAcentral's name for it is "partial 16S ribosomal RNA". It matches the Rfam family "Bacterial small subunit ribosomal RNA", at positions 28 to 507 of the family's 1533-position model. The record is from RNAcentral.
GACGAACGCUGGCGGCGUGCUUAACACAUGCAAGUCGAACGGAAAGGCCCUGCUUUUGUGGGGUGCUCGAGUGGCGAACGGGUGAGUAACACGUGAGUAACCUGCCCUUGACUUUGGGAUAACUUCAGGAAACUGGGGCUAAUACCGGAUAGGAGCUCCUGCUGCAUGGUGGGGGUUGGAAAGUUUCGGCGGUUGGGGAUGGACUCGCGGCUUAUCAGCUUGUUGGUGGGGUAGUGGCUUACCAAGGCAUUGACCGGUAGCCGGCCUGGGAGGGUGACCGGCCACAUUGGGACUGAGAUACGGCCCAGACUCCUACGGGAGGCAGCAGUGGGGAAUAUUGCACAAGGGGCGGAAGCCUGAUGCAGCAACGCCGCGUGCGGGAUGACGGCCUUCGGGUUGUAAACCGCAUUCGCCUGUGACGAAGCGUGAGUGACGGUAAUGGGUAAAGAAGCACCGGCUAACUACGUG